Molecule: ribosomal RNA, 1356 nt
Filed under: uncultured bacterium
Lineage: Bacteria
Description: 16S ribosomal RNA
Rfam family: Bacterial small subunit ribosomal RNA
Source: RNAcentral
GAUUGAACGCUGGCGGCAUGCCUUACACAUGCAAGUCGAACGGCAGCACGGGGCAACCUGGUGGCGAGUGGCGAACGGGUGAGUAAUGUAUCGGAACGUACCAUUCAGUGGGGGAUAACGUAGCGAAAGUUACGCUAAUACCGCAUAUUCUGUGAGCAGGAAAGCAGGGGAUCGCAAGACCUUGCGCUGAUUGAGCGGCCGAUAUCAGAUUAGUUAGUUGGUGAGGUAAAAGCUCACCAAGGCGACGAUCUGUAGCGGGUCUGAGAGGAUGAUCCGCCACACUGGAACUGAGACACGGUCCAGACUCCUACGGGAGGCAGCAGUGGGGAAUUUUGGACAAUGGGGGCAACCCUGAUCCAGCCAUGCCGCGUGAGUGAAGAAGGCCUUCGGGUUGUAAAGCUCUUUCGGCCGGGAAGAAAUCGCAUGGGUUAAUACCCUGUGUGGAUGACGGUACCGGAAUAAGAAGCACCGGCUAACUACGUGCCAGCAGCCGCGGUAAUACGUAGGGUGCGAGUGUUAAUCGGAAUUACUGGGCGUAAAGCGUGCGCAGGCGGUUUUGUAAGACAGGCGUGAAAUCCCCGGGCUCAACCUGGGAACUGCGCUUGUGACUGCAAGGCUAGAGUACGGCAGAGGGGGGUGGAAUUCCACGUGUAGCAGUGAAAUGCGUAGAGAUGUGGAGGAACACCAAUGGCGAAGGCAGCCCCCUGGGUCGAUACUGACGCUCAUGCACGAAAGCGUGGGUAGCAAACAGGAUUAGAUACCCUGGUAGUCCACGCCCUAAACGAUGUCAACUAGGUGUUGGGUGGGUAAAACCAUUUAGUACCGGAGCUAACGCGUGAAGUUGACCGCCUGGGGAGUACGGCCGCAAGGUUAAAACUCAAAGGAAUUGACGGGGACCCGCACAAGCGGUGGAUGAUGUGGAUUAAUUCGAUGCAACGCGAAAAACCUUACCUACCCUUGACAUGUUCAGAAGUCUUGAGAGAUUGAGAUGUGCCCGAAAGGGAACUGGAACACAGGUGCUGCAUGGCUGUCGUCAGCUCGUGUCGUGAGAUGUUGGGUUAAGUCCCGCAACGAGCGCAACCCUUGUCGUUAAUUGCCAUCAUUUAGUUGGGCACUUUAACGAGACUGCCGGUGACAAACCGGAGGAAGGUGGGGAUGACGUCAAGUCCUCAUGGCCCUUAUGGGUAGGGCUUCACACGUCAUACAAUGGUCGGUACAGAGGGUUGCCAAGCCGCGAGGUGGAGCCAAUCCUAAAAAGCUGGCCUCAGUUCAGAUUGCAGUCUGCAACUCGACUGCAUGAAGUUGGAGUUGCUAGUAACCGCAGGUCAGCAAUACUGCGGUGAAUACGUUCCCGGG